CAGUCUGGCCAUACCACCCUGAGCACACCCCAGUUGCACCCAAUCUUGGAAGCCAAGAAGGGUCAAGCCGAGAGAGUACUUUGGUGGGACAGUAAGAUUUGUUUCUGAACUGA
Molecule: ribosomal RNA, 113 nt
Organism: Vulpes vulpes (red fox)
Lineage: Eukaryota; Metazoa; Chordata; Mammalia; Carnivora; Canidae
Source: Ensembl